This is a transfer RNA of Camelus ferus (Wild Bactrian camel), 73 nucleotides long. It matches the Rfam family "tRNA". From Rfam's summary of the family: Transfer RNA (tRNA) molecules are approximately 80 nucleotides in length. Their secondary structure includes four short double-helical elements and three loops (D, anti-codon, and T loops). The record is from Rfam. Lineage: Eukaryota; Metazoa; Chordata; Mammalia; Artiodactyla; Camelidae.
GGGUGUAUAGCUUAAGUGGUAGAGUGCAUGCUUAGCAUGCAUGAAGUCCUGGAUUCAAUCCCCAGUACCUCCU